GCCCGGGUGGCGGAAUGGUAUACGCGAAGGACUUAAAAUCCUUUGCCCUAAAGGCUUGUGGGUUCGAGUCCCACCCCGGGCA
This 82-nucleotide transfer RNA is filed under the name Candidatus Giovannonibacteria bacterium RIFCSPLOWO2_01_FULL_46_13. RNAcentral describes it as "tRNA-Leu". It matches the Rfam family "tRNA". Rfam says of the family: Transfer RNA (tRNA) molecules are approximately 80 nucleotides in length. Lineage: Bacteria; Candidatus Giovannoniibacteriota. The record is from RNAcentral.